Molecule: microRNA precursor, 103 nt
Filed under: Marmota monax (woodchuck)
Lineage: Eukaryota; Metazoa; Chordata; Mammalia; Rodentia; Sciuridae
Source: RNAcentral
AGUGGAAUUGUUGGAUUAUAUGGUACUUGCAUUUUUAGUUUUUUGAGGAACAUCCAUAAUAUUUUCCAGAAUAACUGUACUAUUUUGCAAUACCAUGAGCAAU